UAGGAAUGGUUGGUUUAGUUUCGUGAAAUAUUUGAAGUGAAUUGAAACACAUAUUAUCACGACCCAAACUGAUGGGCCGCGACGGGCGUCUGGUACCUUACUCAACCGAGUACCAACAUAACAUAUCUUUCAUAUCAUUCUAUCAUAGGUAAAUGAACCGGAGUAAAGCAUGAGCGAAUACAAACUUAUAUAUUAGACAUACUGGCCUAUAAGACCAAAAUGAUCACUUGUACACUAAACAUGGGCUGACAAGGCCAUACAAUCUUUCACAAACAUGACAUCUGUCUACAAGCCUCUAAGAAUACAUAAUUUUCAUAAAGGCCGGAACAGAGUCCCGCCUUACCAAACAAUACACGUCUCAAUCAUACUAACCAAUCAAGCAACUCCAAAGUAAAUGGAGCGCAACAACAUCUUCCGCUGAGCUGAUAGCCUACUUCCAGGGCUCUCGACCUGUCGAUCGGGACCUGCGGGCAUGAAACGCAACGUACCCAGGAAAAAAGGGACGUCAGUACGAGUAAUGUACCGAGUAUGUAAGGCACAUAUAUAAGUACAUAUAGACAUGGAAGGAAUACGGAGUAAAUGACUCAACCUGUAAGUCUGGAUAACUUUGUAAAUCAUGAAAUACUUAUAUUGUCAUGCAUAUGCGUAUGAAUGUCAUGUCGUGUAUAGGUACAUGUGUUCAUAACAUCAUCAAUCCUCUGAGGGCAUCUCAUCAUAUCAUCUCGGCCAUUGUGGACAAAUCAUCAACGUAUACCAGCUGAUCAGGUGGUGUUGCGUGUAUAACGUCGUAACCUUUUUCCAUAUCCCAUAUAAUAUAUGUGUGUGUGUGUGUUUAUAUAAUGCCUUCUGAAUCAUGGGUCAAUAUACAUAUAUAAAUGCAUGAAAUACAUAAGAAAUACGUUAAUAAGAUUUUCUCGGAAUGCCAUAAAACUCAAUAUGCCUUUCGGAUAAACUUUAUCAAAUACGUAUUUUUUUCUGAGACCCAUAAACAGAAGAUAAUAAUAAUUCAUAUAGGGAAUCAAGAAUAUAGACACCCCUAGUAUUUCUUGAAUAGAGUCAUUUGUGAAGGUUGCGUAUUUUGCUCGUUUUAUUUGUAUUAUUUGGAUCAUGCCAAAAAGAAAGAAGGGAUAGCCUUAACAUACCUGGAAUAGGAAAAAAUCCGUAUGAUGUUAUUAUCCCACUUUGACGAGUACAAGAAUAUUGAAUCUUUAUACGCUUCUCGCUCUUUACUAAACUUAACUUUUGCCUCUUGUUCCGUUUUUGGAUCUAAUAUUGAGUUCAACAAUGCCUCUGCAGCUAUUAAACAUUGGUUCCUCCUUUUACUUUGCAUAGACGAGGCAAUUUCUCUUUUGAAAGUUCUUGAAUUUUUCUGGAAACUCAUUUAAACGUAGGAAUUCCAUAUGUUCUUUGCAAAUGAGUUAUCUGUAGAACUUUGAGAUCCUAUAGAACUAGUUAAAUGAACUCCCUCAUGCAAUUAACGGAUUUGGAACUAAAACUCGUUUUUGUAAUACUAAAAUAUGGACAAACUACUCAUAGUCCUCCCGAUUGUC
This 1550-nucleotide long non-coding RNA is filed under the name Nicotiana tabacum (common tobacco). Its description in RNAcentral is "long non-coding RNA (NTAB_LNC019215)". The record is from RNAcentral. Lineage: Eukaryota; Viridiplantae; Streptophyta; Magnoliopsida; Solanales; Solanaceae.